CAGAGAUAUGCCCUCCGGGGCAGACCUCCCACCCUGUGUAAUAUACUCUUGUUGCUUUGGCAGGCCGCUUUGGCCCUUGGCAUUCUGCUAGGGAGUGCCUGCCAGAGGAUUCAACUAUUGUGUUCAAUGUCGUCUGAGUACUAUAUAAUAAGUUA
This 155-nucleotide unclassified non-coding RNA is filed under the name uncultured Hyaloscyphaceae. RNAcentral describes it as "sequence contains ITS1". The record is from RNAcentral. Lineage: Eukaryota; Fungi; Ascomycota; Leotiomycetes; Helotiales.